This 253-nucleotide ribosomal RNA is filed under the name uncultured bacterium. RNAcentral describes it as "partial 16S ribosomal RNA". It matches the Rfam family "Bacterial small subunit ribosomal RNA", at positions 524 to 776 of the family's 1533-position model. The record is from RNAcentral.
UACGUAGGAGGCGAGCGUUGUCCGGAUUUACUGGGCGUAAAGCGCGCGCAGGCGGCUCUGUAAGUAAGGUGUGAAAUCUCCCUGCUCAACGGGGAGGGUGCAUUUUAGACUGCAGAGCUAGAGGACGGUAGAGGGGGGUGGAAUUGCUGGUGUAGCGGUGAAAUGCGUAGAGAUCAGCAGGAACACCCGUGGCGAAGGCGGCCCCCUGGGCCGAACCUGACGCUGAGGCGCGAAGGCUAGGGGAGCGAACGGG